GACUAAGGUUUCCAGAGGAAGGCUCGUCCGCUCUGGGUUAGUCGGGUCCUAAGCUGAGGCCGACAGGCGUAGGCGAUGGAUAACAGGUUGAUAUUCCUGUACCACCUAUAAUCGUUUUAAUCGAUGGGGGGACGCAGUAGGAUAGGCGAAGCGUGCGAUUGGAUUGCACGUCUAAGCAGUAAGGCUGAGUAUUAGGCAAAUCCGGUACUCGUUAAGGCUGAGCUGUGAUGGGGAGAAGACAUUGUGUCUUCGAGUCGUUGAUUUCACACUGCCGAGAAAAGCCUCUAGAUAGAAAAUAGGUGCCCGUACCGCAAACCGACACAGGUAGUCAAGAUGAGAAUUCUAAGGUGAGCGAGCGAACUCUCGUUAAGGAACUCGGCAAAAUGACCCCGUAACUUCGGGAGAAGGGGUGCUCUUUAGGGUUAACGCCCAGAAGAGCCGCAGUGAAUAGGCCCAAGCGACUGUUUAUCAAAAACACAGGUCUCUGCUAAACCGUAAGGUGAUGUAUAGGGGCUGACGCCUGCCCGGUGCUGGAAG
Molecule: ribosomal RNA, 537 nt
Filed under: Staphylococcus aureus
Lineage: Bacteria; Bacillati; Bacillota; Bacilli; Caryophanales; Staphylococcaceae
Description: partial 23S ribosomal RNA
Rfam family: Bacterial large subunit ribosomal RNA
Source: RNAcentral